RNAcentral lists this ribosomal RNA (324 nucleotides) under Bacillus licheniformis. RNAcentral describes it as "bacterial SSU rRNA". It matches the Rfam family "Bacterial small subunit ribosomal RNA", at positions 1 to 314 of the family's 1533-position model. The record is from RNAcentral. Lineage: Bacteria; Bacillati; Bacillota; Bacilli; Caryophanales; Bacillaceae.
UUCAUGGAGAGUUUGAUCCUGGCUCAGGACGAACGCUGGCGGCGUGCCUAAUACAUGCAAGUCGAGCGGACCGACGGGAGCUUGCUCCCUUAGGUCAGCGGCGGACGGGUGAGUAACACGUGGGUAACCUGCCUGUAAGACUGGGAUAACUCCGGGAAACCGGGGCUAAUACCGGAUGCUUGAUUGAACCGCAUGGUUCAAUCAUAAAAGGUGGCUUUCAGCUACCACUUACAGAUGGACCCGCGGCGCAUUAGCUAGUUGGUGAGGUAACGGCUCACCAAGGCGACGAUGCGUAGCCGACCUGAGAGGGUGAUCGGCCACACU